Molecule: long non-coding RNA, 1747 nt
Organism: Passer domesticus (house sparrow)
Lineage: Eukaryota; Metazoa; Chordata; Aves; Passeriformes; Passeridae
Exons: 2
Source: RefSeq, a predicted model, not a curated record
CUUUCUCUGGACCCAUGACAGAGCUGUUUGGCCUGCAUUUCCCUGCAAUGGAGAUAGCUGUGAUGAGUUUUUUUCUGAACAUCAGGCCUCUCCUCCAGUAUCAUUGACCUUUCUAAGAUCAUAGAGAGGGGUCACACAGUCAAAACCUCAUGACUUUCAGGUGCAUCCUAUCUGGUCCUGUGAACUUGCAUCUAUCCAAUUGGCUCCAAUAUUCUGAUCCUCAUCUGUGAAAACAACUUUCUAACAGGGCCCUGAGUACACUAAUGGGUUCAAUUGCUUUGACCACUCUCACAUGGGACAUUCACCCACACACCAAUGACCAUGGGACCAAGAUAUUUCUUAAGUGCAGGCUCAAGGGUAGGAGCCCUUUCCUGAGCUAUGAUGCAGCUGUAGGAUGUUUUUCCAGCCCUGUUUUGUCAUGAGUAAUUUCUUGGAUUUCCUGGCUUGAUCUUGGAUUUGGGUUGUUACGUUGCCUUUGCCUGAUCCAUGGGAUGGGACCUGUUGCUCUUCCUGCUCAGGGGCUGUGGGACCAUGCCCUAAUGGUUGCUACUGCUGUGUAAUUCACCGCUGUGAGGCAAGCAAUGAAGAGAACAAACCCUUUUGGGAUGUCAUGAAAACCAAACUGUAAAUAACACUGGAUCUUUGGAACAUUAGUAUUUUGCAGUAAAGUUAAUGAAAAGUCUAGUUUUGGAAAACCAAGACUUAACUUGGAUUAGAAUUUAAUAAGCAAUUUCAUGCUGGUGAGGUACAGGCAAUGGUUAUUAAUUAUUCAUUUGAUCCAUUUCAGAAUGCUUUGAUCCUUGCAGAAGCAGAGUUGCAGUAGUAAGACCCCAGCCCCACUGUUAUUCAUGAUAUUCUGUUCUGAUGGGUGGUUUUGGUUGCACUACUGAAUACUGAUUUCUUAAGGGUGUUGCUGCUUCAGCUGCAUCCAGGAAAAGAGGGACAGACUUCAACCCUUUGCACCUUGGUUCAAUUUCCUGGACUCCCUCACCUCACUUUCCAGAACAGUAAUGCGUGGAUGGUGCUUUGGCUGAAUUUCUCAUGUUUGAAACUCCCUCUGUUGUUUUGGUGUUAGAGAAGCUGAGCAGUUGCUGUGUUGAAACCUGGCAGCCUCAUACUACAGUCAGCAGCAACAGCCACAAGGCAAUCCAGCAUUUCCUGUGGUCUCAUCCAAAAUGUGGGAUUUGUGUAAUACUGCAGUCAUGUAAGCAGGCUGGUACAGCAGGACUACGUGCAGGCUUCCAUCCCAGCCACGAUGGAAGGAGAAAACAGAAACAACUCUUCCCUUAAGGAGGCAGCAGUUCAUAAACGAAAAUGAUUUCCUGGACUGCAUUUCCUCCUUUCUGCCAAAUGCCACACUUGUUGGAAGGAGCUGUCACAGAUUCAUGGAUGAGAUUAGUAGACUCGGCAUCAACAGUCUGGCCACAGGGCUGGAAAUACUUAUGCCAGGAUGAUUAGAACUCAUAAACUAAAAAAAAAAGAAUUAAUGGGAACUUCAUGCACUGAAUUGACAUUUUAAGAAGCAUCUAAAUGUAUGUCCCUUAAGUUCUUGUACAAGGAGCCAGCCCCAAGAGCUUGCUACCUCAUAGGACAAGCAAAUUUAGGUGGAUUUCUGAACAUCUUCCCUCCUCUCACUCCCUCCUUCUCCUUAAAAUUGUUUCUCAUUAUUUGCUGUUGGGAAGACAAAUAGAAAAAAAAUUGUAACAUAUAAAAUGCUGAAUAAAGAGCAAGUAAAUAUUGCUGUGAA